This 395-nucleotide ribosomal RNA is filed under the name uncultured bacterium. Its description in RNAcentral is "bacterial SSU rRNA". It matches the Rfam family "Bacterial small subunit ribosomal RNA", at positions 521 to 916 of the family's 1533-position model. The record is from RNAcentral.
UAAUACGAAGGGGGCUAGCGUUGCUCGGAAUUACUGGGCGUAAAGGGAGCGUAGGCGGAUAGUUUAGUCAGAGGUGAAAGCCCAGGGCUCAACCUUGGAAUUGCCUUUGAUACUGGCUAUCUUGAGUUUGGGAGAGGUGAGUGGAACUCCGAGUGUAGAGGUGAAAUUCGUAGAUAUUCGGAAGAACACCAGUGGCGAAGGCGACUCACUGGCCCAAUACUGACGCUGAGGCUCGAAAGCGUGGGGAGCAAACAGGAUUAGAUACCCUGGUAGUCCACGCCGUAAACGAUGAGUGCUAGUUGUCGGCAUGCAUGCAUGUCGGUGACGCAGCUAACGCAUUAAGCACUCCGCCUGGGGAGUACGGUCGCAAGAUUAAAACUCAAAUGAAUUGACGG